This 457-nucleotide long non-coding RNA is filed under the name Homo sapiens (human). RNAcentral describes it as "non-protein coding lnc-SNPH-4:1". The record is from RNAcentral. Lineage: Eukaryota; Metazoa; Chordata; Mammalia; Primates; Hominidae.
UCUGAAGGCACAGUGAUGAUGAUACUGAAGAUAUUUCACUGUUUGAUUUAGAAGGGAGGGCAGACAACUAAUAGACCAAAGAAAUUUAAACUCAGAGAUCCAGUGGCCUCACUUUUCCUUUAAUUAUUUCAAGUCAGUGCAAUCGCCACCUAUUUUCUCUAUGAACCGCCCAGCAGUUGCUUUCUUGCCUGUGUGGCCUGUGUGGUGACAAUGAUCUCGUUGUCAGGUGGCUUUUGGGCAGUGAAGAAUGUCACCGGUAGAGUAAUGAUUGGACUAUGUUGGUGGAAUCACAUUGAUGACAAUGGAAAGGGCCAUUGGGCAUUUGAGUCCUGGGAGACAUCCUCUUAAGAGAGUAAAACUGUCUUAGAGGCUGAAAGAAGAAUCUUCUGGUUGGGACUAAUGGCCUGUCCAGUGCUGUGAGUGAUAUGUGCUUUUAGUGCCUGAUUUGAUUUGGCUC